CCACUGUCAGUAAGCACAAGACCGUACUAAUUUGGACUUUUCUUAAUGCAUUGCAUCAAACAUGGUGGAGGUGGGGACAUAAGCUUGCGUACCCAUUUUUGAUCUUUUCGGCAUCUGUCCUGAACUCCAUUGCCAUAGCUAGUGUCCCAGGUAGCAUCAGAAAUUUAUCUUUUAUUUGAUACGGAAGAUGGAUAAAAAAAUAAUAAAUA
Molecule: long non-coding RNA, 209 nt
Filed under: Elaeis guineensis (African oil palm)
Lineage: Eukaryota; Viridiplantae; Streptophyta; Magnoliopsida; Arecales; Arecaceae
Description: long non-coding RNA (EGUI_LNC073324)
Source: RNAcentral